CAGUGAUUUUUAACAGAGAAAACCCCAUAUGCAGAAGGAAAAGGCAAGCCAAUUAAUCAGUAAACAGUGACACUGAUCCACUUCUUCAUUAGAAACCCUGAUUUUAUCACCUGAUAAAUAACUAGACUAUCAGAAAACGAGAGAGAUUGAUUAUAAACUACUAAGAAGAAUACCAGAACACACUGAAGUGGAGCACCAAGCCUGCCUCCCGAACAUCCCAGGCUCUCUUCAGAGAAUUUGGGAUUUGAAUUUGGAAAGUUGGGAGCAACUCAG
RNAcentral lists this long non-coding RNA (273 nucleotides) under Bos taurus (domestic cattle). RNAcentral describes it as "long non-coding RNA NONBTAT015551". The record is from RNAcentral. Lineage: Eukaryota; Metazoa; Chordata; Mammalia; Artiodactyla; Bovidae.